UCGGCGUGGUUGAUUCGGUGGUUUUUAUGCUGGAUGAUUUGAAUUUGAUGAUGCGAUAUGGCUUUGUUGGUGGGUAGUUGAUUAGUUGCUCUUGUUUGGGAGAGGGUGAUUUUGAUAAGUUUAAUGAAGCUUUUUCGCAUUUGAAUUGGUCUUUAGCCGGAUCUGCGAGUUCCACUUCAAUAAGUGCAAUAGAGAACGUGUCCGUUGUUCAAUCUAUGCGAUUCUUCCCUGCUAAAUCUAAAGGGAUUCGCACCUCAUUAUUGUCUAUG
Juglans microcarpa x Juglans regia is the source of this 269-nucleotide long non-coding RNA. RefSeq lists it as uncharacterized. The transcript has 2 exons. The record is from RefSeq and is a predicted model, not a curated record. NCBI's taxonomy places the organism in Eukaryota, Viridiplantae, Streptophyta, Magnoliopsida, Fagales, Juglandaceae.